Molecule: non-coding RNA, 3000 nt
Filed under: Pongo abelii (Sumatran orangutan)
Lineage: Eukaryota; Metazoa; Chordata; Mammalia; Primates; Hominidae
Source: RNAcentral
ACGUGUCACCGUGAUGCCACGUCCAGUCUGAGCCCUUCCUCGCCCAUGUCCCUGUCCUUGUUGCAUAGCCGGCCUCCAGCAUGUGGCUUCGUGCAGCGACCAGACCGUCGUGUGACUUUCUGCCAUGGUUGCUGGGGUUGGCGCUGGGGCAGACCUGCUGGGUGGUUCUGGGUUGCGGCUGGAGCGCUGGGACUGGCAGGACGCCUCUCUUCGUGCUGCCCCAGGGCCCCUCCAGGUCGACUCCCGGUGUGAAGCAUGUGGGCUGCCUCACAGCCUGGCAGCUCCAGAACUGCUGGAGGCUCCCCUGCAGCCCCAGCUCUGCUGGCAGCAGUGGGCCAGAAGCAACUCACCUUCACACAGCCACCCUGAAGGCGCGUAGGUUCUGGAAGGGAACCUUGGGAAAUGGGAUUCGUGCCAUAUUCAAGGGAGUCCCAAGCUCCCUCGCCCAUUUCACUCCAUGAGGAUAGGAGGGGACAGCUGCUGACAACCUGGCAGAGACCCUGCGCCAGGCCCCACCCCACCGGCACCCUGAUCUUGCACUUUCGGCCUCGAGAACGCCCCCGCCCAGGAGGGUCUGAGCCAGGCAGCCUCCCCGGGAGCUGGUGCUGACACGGCCAGAGAAACCAUUCCAGACCCGGAGCCCACUGUCCCCAACACCUGCGGGCCAGUGACUCACGGCGGUGGAGAAAGCCAAGAGGAAGCGGAGGCUGAGUUGCCCUCCCCGGGGCUGGGGCCCGCCGUUUGGAUAUGUCUCCAGCCGCUGGUUUAGGGGAAUCGGGAGGGCUCACUUUAGCGUCCCUUCUCUGCGUGCUCUUCCAUCCCGGGACAGAAGACCCGACUGCUGCCAACACCAAAGGGUGUUCCCAUGGCACACGCCGCUCGGGCUCGGGCAGGCAGGGACCCCUCCUGGUGCCUGGGGAGCCUGGAGCUGUCGGCCCCGCAGCUGAGGACCACAGGAGGUCAGGGACAUGCAAGCUCGCUGCCCGAAGUCACUUCUAGAGUGCGAUUCGGUGUCCCUGAAGGUCCCAACUCUGCCCUGACACAUUACAGAAAGUGUCACUGCCUCCUGGUGUGGAUGUUGGCCCGCCCCCAGGGAGGCCUCUGCCCCAUCACCCAGCCCAGCCCAUCCCAUCCCAACAGGACUCCGCCUCCAGUGGCUACCAUCAGACCCCACGGCAUGGUGACUGUCACCGCAGAGGGCUAGAGAGGGCCGCGUGUGGGACGGCAGGGGCUGACGGGGGGCUCUGCGUUCCCCAGUAACCCAGGUUUCUGCUGGGGCUGCUCCCUGGCUGCUCUGCUCCCCAGCCCCCUACAAUGUGGAUUUAGUCUUAUUUCCCACAGGGAAGGCCUAACAAGGCUUGACCAAUCAGUGAACGGCAUUCCCCAGACUGCUGGCUGUGACUGGGUCCCAGACAAGCACGUGACCCACUAUGGGCCAAUGAAAGUCGCCUGAGACUUUCGCUUGCAUGGUUGCUGGACAGUCCAAAGUCCUCAGUGGGGACGGCUGGCUGCAGCUGCUACGCUUGGAGCCUGAGGACAGAGCUGGGCCGGUCCCUCCCUGGGAUCUCCCCUCCCUGAGCCCAGGCUCUGCUCUGCCCAGCCCUAUGCUGUCCCCUGUGCAACCGCUGUGGGCUUCCUGCCAGGCUCCUGCGCCCUCCAGCUUCUGUUGGGUUCAGUUCUGGGAGGCAGCCCCACAGCCUGGAGGGUGGAAGGAGUGAGGGGCAUCCCCUGUCCCCUCCCCACAGUCUUGGCAGUGGUUUCUUCUCUCCAGAGUUACUGUCCCUACCCCCUGUCCUCUCUCUGCAGCUCCAGCUCUUGCUGGGCACCUGUGAUUCUCACCCCAUCCCUUCAGGCCAUGGAGAGAAGAACAUCCCAGUGCGGUCACUUCCUGGAUCCAAUUCCUGGAUGCCCAGUGUCCGCCGGGUCUCCUGGAUUCACCGUGGUCACUGCCUGGAUGCCCAGUGUCUGCCGGGUCUCCUGGAUUCACUGUGGUCCCUGCCUGAAUGCCCAGUGUCCUCCAGGUCUCCUGGAUUCACUUCCUGGAUGCCCAGUGUCUGCUGGGUCUCCUGGAUCCACUUCCUGGAUGCCCAGUGUCCGCCAGAUCUCCUGAAUUCACUUCCUGGAUGCCCAGUGUCCACCAGGUCUCCUGGAUUCUGCCUGUGUCCACGUGAGGGCACCAUCAAUUUCCUGCGAGGAUCCUAAGACAGUCAAGGUACAUCUAACCUGACAGCAGGCAGGGGCUGGACUAUCCCCUAGAUCAAGCCAUGCCUGAAGCCCCACCUUUCAGUUGCCUGAGUCAACAGAUUCCCUUUUUGGGUUGAGCCAUUUCUCAUUGGAUUUUAUGUCUUACUGACUGAACUAUCAGGAUGGCCAGCAGUAAGGGGUUUCUUUUUGGAGGAUGAGGGACACAAAUGUCUCUUCUCCAAGGUGAGGAGAUGCCUGAAGGACAGGAGGCACUCACAGGAGGUCCUGGAGACAGAUAUGCCCCACAGGCAUUCCUGAGGACCUGCAGCCUGGCAGCACGGAGACUCUGGGUAAAAACAGAAGCUUGUAAUCUGCAAGUUCUGCGGCUGCCCUGUCUGUGUCUGUGAAGCAAAGUGUCCAGAAGUGGCCCGUGUGGAAGCUUCUGAGAGCGGUUAGGGGAAGGGGGCCCCACGUCCUCCCCGGAGGACUGGAGACGGAGGCAGGCCGUGCCCCCAGCCCAGAGUCGGGAGGAGGCUGGCAGGCGGCAGCUGUGGAAAGGAGGCAGAGCUCCCCGACUCCUGAGCCAGCAGAGGAAGGAGUGGGACAGAGCCCGCCCCAGAGGGAGACAAGAUCCCGGGGAAGAGACCCCUCAGGGUGGCCCCCCAGCCCCUCCGGGGCUCAGCUUUCAGCCUGCACCCCCGUCUGGUCCCUCAGAAUGACUGAGGUUUCCACUCUUUUUCUGCCAAAUCUCUAGACUCCACAUCCCCGCUCUGCCACCUACUCUUUGUGGCAUCCGAAUAACAAGACUUAACCUUU